CCCCUGGUGGUCUAGUGGUUAGGAUGCAGCAUUUUCACCGCCGCGAACUGGGUUUGAUUCCCGGUCCGGGAA
This 72-nucleotide transfer RNA is filed under the name Manacus vitellinus (golden-collared manakin). It matches the Rfam family "tRNA". From Rfam's summary of the family: Transfer RNA (tRNA) molecules are approximately 80 nucleotides in length. Their secondary structure includes four short double-helical elements and three loops (D, anti-codon, and T loops). Lineage: Eukaryota; Metazoa; Chordata; Aves; Passeriformes; Pipridae. The record is from Rfam by way of RNAcentral.